GACGAACGCUGGCGGCGUGCUUAACACAUGCAAGUCGAACGGUAAGGCCCUUCGGGGUACACGAGUGGCGAACGGGUGAGUAACACGUGGGUGAUCUGCCCUGCACUUCGGGAUAAGCCUGGGAAACUGGGUCUAAUACCGGAUAGGACCCUGGGAUGCAUGUCCUGGGGUGGAAAGCUUUUGCGGUGUGGGAUGGGCCCGGGGCCUAUCAGCUUGUUGGUGGGGUGAUGGCCUACCAAGGCGACGACGGGUAGCCGGCCUGAGAGGGUGACCGGCCACACUGGGACUGAGAUACGGCCCAGACUCCUACGGGGGGCAGCAGUGGGGAAUAUUGCCCAAUGGGCGCAAGCCUGAUGCAGCGACGCCGCGUGAGGGAUGACGGCCUUCGGGUUGUAAACCUCUUUCAGCACCGACGAAGCGCAAGUGACGGUAGGUGCAGAAGAAGGACCGGCCAACUACGUGCCAGCAGCCGCCGUAA
RNAcentral lists this ribosomal RNA (478 nucleotides) under uncultured bacterium. Its description in RNAcentral is "partial 16S ribosomal RNA". It matches the Rfam family "Bacterial small subunit ribosomal RNA", at positions 28 to 523 of the family's 1533-position model. The record is from RNAcentral.